UUCCUGGUGAUUGAGAUGGUAAAGAGUCUGCCUGCAAUGCAGGAGACCUGGGUUCAAUCCCUAGGUUGGAAG
Molecule: transfer RNA, 72 nt
Filed under: Haemonchus contortus (barber pole worm)
Lineage: Eukaryota; Metazoa; Nematoda; Chromadorea; Rhabditida; Trichostrongylidae
Description: tRNA, Cys
Rfam family: tRNA
About the family: Transfer RNA (tRNA) molecules are approximately 80 nucleotides in length. Their secondary structure includes four short double-helical elements and three loops (D, anti-codon, and T loops). Further hydrogen bonds mediate the characteristic L-shaped molecular structure. tRNAs have two regions of fundamental functional importance: the anti-codon, which is responsible for specific mRNA codon recognition, and the 3' end, to which the tRNAs corresponding amino acid is attached (by aminoacyl-tRNA synthetases). tRNAs cope with the degeneracy of the genetic code in two manners: having more than one tRNA (with a specific anti-codon) for a particular amino acid; and 'wobble' base-pairing, i.e. permitting non-standard base-pairing at the 3rd anti-codon position.
Source: RNAcentral